UACGUAGGGUGCAAGCGUUAAUCGGAAUUACUGGGCGUAAAGCGUGCGCAGGCGGUUUUGUAAGUCUGUCGUGAAAUCCCCGGGCUCAACCUGGGAAUUGCGAUGGAGACUGCAAGGCUAGAAUCUGGCGGAGGGGGGUAGAAUUCCACGUGUAGCAGUGAAAUGCGUAGAGAUGUGGAGGAACACCGAUGGCGAAGGCAGCCCCCUGGGUCAAGAUUGACGCUCAUGCACGAAAGCGUGGGGAGCAAACAGG
Molecule: ribosomal RNA, 253 nt
Filed under: uncultured bacterium
Lineage: Bacteria
Description: partial 16S ribosomal RNA
Rfam family: Bacterial small subunit ribosomal RNA
Source: RNAcentral